Molecule: long non-coding RNA, 537 nt
Filed under: Mytilus galloprovincialis (Mediterranean mussel)
Lineage: Eukaryota; Metazoa; Mollusca; Bivalvia; Mytilida; Mytilidae
Source: RNAcentral
AUUCGAUAAGACACAAGUCAAACAGACUCAUGAAGUCUUCUCCAUUUAACAUUUUUAGCAAUAUAGUACAAAAUAUAUGCAUGAGCAUGCAUGUAUAGAAUGGUAUAUCUAUAAAUCCAUUACAUAUGGAUUUAUGUUAAAAGUCAGAGAAGUGAAGAAAGAAAGGAAAAAGAAAUAAUAAUACAGAAAAAAAAUAAUAUAAAAAUAAAGAAAUAUUUUUGAGAGCAAAACACAAAAAAUAAAAUACAAAUUAAACACACGAAAAAAAAGGAAAAAAAGGAUAGACUUUUACUUAAAUGAUGAUGUGUGUGCGAUCAUGGUUUGGUAUCUAGACAAUUAGGAAUCUUUCCGAACUUUUAAUAUACUGGAAGACAUUUUUGAAAAUAGUUCAGUUUUGCUCUAGAUAAGGAAGACAACUAACCGAGGUUAGUAGUUCUAUGUUAAUUUUACAAUCAUUUGGAAGCCAGUGCAGACUAUCAAAUAAUUUAUUUCGUAUGUCUGAAUAUAAUAUACAUUUAAAAAAGAAAUGAUUGACAC